AUCCAGCUGACGAGUCCCAAAUAGGACGAACCCCUCGUCCUGCAU
RNAcentral lists this non-coding RNA (45 nucleotides) under Schistosoma mattheei. The record is from RNAcentral. Lineage: Eukaryota; Metazoa; Platyhelminthes; Trematoda; Strigeidida; Schistosomatidae.